GAUGAACGCUGGCGGCGUGCUUAACACAUGCAAGUCGAACGGGAUCCCAGGAGCUUGCUCCUGGGUGAGAGUGGCGAACGGGUGAGUAAUGCGUGACCGACCUGCCCCAUACACCGGAAUAGCUCCUGGAAACGGGUGGUAAUGCCGGAUGCUCCGACAUGACGCAUGUCGUGUCGGGAAAGAUUCAUCGGUAUGGGAUGGGGUCGCGUCCUAUCAGCUUGAUGGCGGGGUAACGGCCCACCAUGGCUUCGACGGGUAGCCGGCCUGAGAGGGCGACCGGCCACAUUGGGACUGAGAUACGGCCCAGACUCCUACGGGAGGCAGCAGUGGGGAAUAUUGCACAAUGGGCGCAAGCCUGAUGCAGCGACGCCGCGUGCGGGAUGACGGCCUUCGGGUUGUAAACCGCUUUUGACUGGGAGCAAGCCCUUCGGGGUAAG
RNAcentral lists this ribosomal RNA (437 nucleotides) under uncultured bacterium. RNAcentral's name for it is "bacterial SSU rRNA". It matches the Rfam family "Bacterial small subunit ribosomal RNA", at positions 28 to 464 of the family's 1533-position model. The record is from RNAcentral.